RNAcentral lists this ribosomal RNA (515 nucleotides) under uncultured bacterium. RNAcentral's name for it is "partial 16S ribosomal RNA". It matches the Rfam family "Bacterial small subunit ribosomal RNA", at positions 28 to 523 of the family's 1533-position model. The record is from RNAcentral.
GACGAACGCUGGCGGCGUGCCUAAUACACGCAAGUCGAGCGAAUGGAUUAAGAGCUUGCUCUUAUGAAGUUAGCGGCGGACGGGUGAGUAACACGUGGGUAACUUGCCCAUAAGACUGGGAUAACUCCGGGAAACCGGGGCUAAUACCGGAUAACAUUUUGAACCGCAUGGUUCGAAAUUGAAAGGCGGCUUCGGCUGUCACUUAUGGAUGGACCCGCGUCGCAUUAGCUAGUUGGUGAGGUAACGGCUCACCAAGGCAACGAUGCGUAGCCGACCUGAGAGGGUGAGCGGCCACACUCGGGCUGAGACACGGCCCAGACUCCUACGGGAGGCAGCAGUAGGGAAUCUUCCGCAAUGGACGAAAGUCUGACGGAGCAACGCCGCGUGAGUGAUGAAGGCUUUCGGGUCGUAAAACUCUGUUGUUAGGGGAGAACAAGUGCUAGUUGAAUAAGCUGGCACCUUGACGGUACCUAACCAGAAAGCCACGGCUAACUACGUGCCAGCCGCCGCCGUAA